CUGCACAACACCGGCCAGCACCCUAAAGUGGCCAAAAUCAAACACACCCACAGGUGCACGCUGUUCUUCCAAACAUGCUAGGUGCGGUGGUUAUGCUAAUGUCGGAUCCUUGCAGAGAAACUUCCAUCUUCAGUGAGGUGUGUGGAACUUUGUGCUUCUGUGAUCCGCUCAACAAGUUUGAAAAAUGUGGACUACUAAACGAGAAGAGAAGUUGAUCCUGCAGCAGAUUGAGCAGAUUGACUUCCCCAUACACAUGACUAGGACAUGCAGUGGUGUCCCUGUCGUCCCAACAUUAACUUUGGUAUUAUAACCAUUUUGCCACAUACCUGCUGAGACAUAUCUUCUGGUAGAGCGCCAACGCCCACUGCAGGGGCCAGCACAGCGCGUUCUCAAACCAGCUCUGACAGCGAAACACUGGGGACAGGCAGACGGCCGCCGUCACGUAGCUAGAUGAUCCACACUCCCCCAAGUAAGAGAGGAGGAGGCCCGACCCGGUGCUCUCACUCACUGCAUACAGUUUCCCUGCAGGCUGUCGGUGUCGAAUGUAGCGCACUGCCUCUCGCAGAUCUGCAGGGUCACCGAACUGCUGCAGCUUCAGGGUGGUCAGCGGGGUGCCGUUGUGGCUUCGGCGGUUGAAAACUGCAGGGAGGUAGCCAUGGGACAGUGCCGUUUCACACAACUGUGGGGAGAUGGGUGGAGAAAAUAAAUAAUAAUCUUUACAUAUGUCAAAAACAUAUUACGGAUUGUGGGCGUUUGCUGGGGAAUUCAGUGUUUAGUGUGUUCAGCCAUAAGAGUAAGACAAGAUCCACCUUUAGUCAAUUUUUAUUUUUGUCCUGCUGAAAAGGACCUAUGAUUUAAUAAAAAAGCCAACUUAGUGUGAACUGGUGUCUUGGUUAUACACAGAAUGAAACAAUGCCUCCUUUUAGAAAAUGGUUUCCAUGUCAUUAGACUGAAUGCGGAUGUAAGACCUGAAAACGGCAUGUUACUUCUACUUUUUACUGUAUGGAAAAAGAAAUAAACAGUCGCCAGGGGAGGUGAGAACUCGGUAAAAUUACAGGAUUAAGUGUUUCCCUCUUUAACUGUGCUGCUUCAGCACUGUUCACUGUAAUACUACAGAUUGUUUAUUUUGUUAUAAUUUGACAGUAUGAGACAUUAGGGCUAAAUAAAUGAAUGUAAGAAAAUGUUAUACAAGUGAAUGAGAAGUAAUACCCCUUUCCUGUUACUUUCACUUUUUUGUAAUGUUUAGCAUAACUUUAUCUUAAGGCUCUUCAGAAACUGGCUCUCAAAUCUCAUAGUUCUGCUAGUUCUCUCUCUGCAUGUUUACAGUAAAUUGUUCUUUACUAGAAACAUUACACGCCUGUAGCGGUGUCAGGGAAGGAAAGCAGAAGAAAAAUAUUAACUUCUUGUUGUAUCAGAUAUUUUAGUAGAUCUCUUUGUUUGUUUAUGUGUUAUUAUAGUGUUAAGUGUUUGUAACAUACUUGGUAUACAUUUUGAAAGGAAAAAAUACAUAUGACACAUGAUCAGAAAUUAGUCAGGCCAAAAUGUAUACUUUAUAAUCAUAAAGUCGUAGAAAUAGCUCUGAAAAGCUCUGUUCCAGUUGCUGAAUAUGACCUUUUAGAAUACAUUAUUAAAUCCAUUACACAAACAGAGGGUUUGUCUGGAAAAAGAAGAG
Molecule: long non-coding RNA, 1672 nt
Organism: Notothenia coriiceps (black rockcod)
Lineage: Eukaryota; Metazoa; Chordata; Actinopteri; Perciformes; Nototheniidae
Exons: 3
Source: RefSeq, a predicted model, not a curated record